Acanthopagrus latus (yellowfin seabream) is the source of this 658-nucleotide long non-coding RNA. RefSeq lists it as uncharacterized. The transcript has 3 exons. NCBI's taxonomy places the organism in Eukaryota, Metazoa, Chordata, Actinopteri, Spariformes, Sparidae. The record is from RefSeq and is a predicted model, not a curated record.
AGCAGCCUGUGUGUCUAAAUGGACCGUGAAGUGGCAACAGGCUCGCUGGUAGAUGUGCGUGGAUGAGUCGGACACGAGGACCUGGAUGGAGAUGCAGCGUUCCCGCUGUGUGACACGUAUCCAGCACCGCCGUGACAUCAUCUAUAGUGUGUAAAUGUAAAGCAGGGACAUUGCGUGCCCGGUCUGGAGGAGGAGGAUUGAGGGAUUACAGUUCAUUGGAUUCUGAAGUGAAGGUCUGCUGAUUCAACAAGAAGUCUUUCUCUUCUCCGCGCUACAUAAUGAAGCUCGAGACCACAUGCCAGUGAGAAUCUGAGAGACGCUUGUUUCCUGCAGGGAUCUAAUCAGAAGGCGGCGUCGGGUUCUUCAUCGCUCUACCUCUGCUCAGUGCAUCAACAGAUGUGCAGGAAGUUCACGCCAGUUUCCAGCCAGCUUCCUGCCGAAACCAGCGAAGAAGAGUGGAGAUUUGUACGGUGGAGGCAAUUAUACGAAGAGACCGCUGACUGAAGUCACACCUUAAGAAGACGCCUGGCCUGUGUACUUCAGUGAGAACCGUCAUUGGUGAUGCAGCGAUAAUUAGAAAUGAGGCAUGUUAAUCAGCAGAAUUAAUUGAGUUUUACCUUUUAUAGUGUGGAGCACUGCUUGAUUCUUCUCCACAACG